CCUCCAAGGCUAAAUACUCCUGACUGACCGAUAGUGAACCAGUACCGUGAGGGAAAGGCGAAAAGAACCCCGGCGAGGGGAGUGAAAAAGAACCUGAAACCGUGUACGUACAAGCAGUGGGAGCCUCAUUUAUGGGGUGACUGCGUACCUUUUGUAUAAUGGGUCAGCGACUUAUAUUCUGUAGCAAGGUUAACCGAAUAGGGGAGCCGAAGGGAAACCGAGUCUUAACUGGGCGUUAAGUUGCAGGGUAUAGAC
This is a ribosomal RNA of 255 nucleotides. It matches the Rfam family "Bacterial large subunit ribosomal RNA", at positions 457 to 714 of the family's 2925-position model.